Molecule: ribosomal RNA, 496 nt
Filed under: uncultured bacterium
Lineage: Bacteria
Description: partial 16S ribosomal RNA
Rfam family: Bacterial small subunit ribosomal RNA
Source: RNAcentral
AUUGAACGCUGGCGGAAUGCUUUACACAUGCAAGUCGAACGGUAGAGGGGGCAACCCCUCGAGAGUGGCGAACGGGUGAGUAAUAUAUCGGAACGUGCCCAGUCGUGGGGGAUAACGUAGCGAAAGUUACGCUAAUACCGCAUACGAUCUAAGGAUGAAAGCGGGGGAUCGCAAGACCUCGCGCGAUUGGAGCGGCCGAUAACAGGGUAGGUAGUUGGUGGGGUAAAGGCUCAACAAGCCAACGAUCUGUAGCUGGGGUGAGAGGACGACCAGCCAACCUGGAACUGAGACACGGUCCAGACUCCUACGGGAGGCAGCAGUGGGGAAUUUUGGACAAUGGACGCAAGUCUGAUCCAGCCAUUCCGCGUGCAGGAUGAAGGCCCUCGGGUUGUAAACUGCUUUUGUACGGAACGAAAAGGUCUCUCUUAAUACGGGGGACUCAUGACGGUACCGUAAGAAUAAGCACCGGCUAACUACGUGCCAGCCGCCGCCGUAA